RNAcentral lists this ribosomal RNA (1036 nucleotides) under uncultured marine microorganism HF4000_APKG10H11. RNAcentral describes it as "bacterial SSU rRNA". It matches the Rfam family "Archaeal small subunit ribosomal RNA", at positions 325 to 1363 of the family's 1478-position model. The record is from RNAcentral.
ACGGGGCGCAGCAGGCGCGAAACCUCCGCAAUGCGCGAAAGCGUGACGGGGUUAUUCCGAGUGUUAGCCGCUGAGGCAAACUUUUACUUAGUUCAAAAGGCUUUGAGAAUAAGGGGAGGGCAAGAUUGGUGUCAGCCGCCGCGGUAAUACCAACUCCCCGAGUGGUUGGGAUGUUUACUGGGCUUAAAGCGUCCGUAGCCUGUUUUAUAAGUUCUCUGUUAAAUCCGAUGUCUCAAGCAUCGGGCUGCAGAGAAUACUGUAUAACUUGGGAAUGGAAGAAGCCGGCGGUACUUUUUGGGAAGGAGUAAAAUCCUCAGAUCCAAAAAGGACCACCAGUGGCGAAGGCGGCCGGCUAGGACAUGUCCGACGGUGAGGGACGAAAGCUGAGGUAGCGAUCCGGAUUAGAUACCCGGGUAGUCUCAGCUGUAAACGAUGCAGACUAGGUGUGUGAGCAAACAUGUGUUGCUCAUGUGCCGUAGAGAAAUUGUUAAGUCUGCCGCCUGGGAAGUACGGCCGCAAGGCUGAAACUUAAAGGAAUUGGCGGGGGAGCACCACAAGGGGUGAAUCUUGCGGUUUAAUUGGAGUCAACGCCCGGAAACUUACCUGGGGGGACAGCAGAAUGAAGGCCUAGCUGAAGACUAUGCUAGACAAGCUGAGAGGUGGUGCAUGGCCGUCGCCGGUUCGUACCGUGAGGUGUCCUGUUAAGUCAGGCAACGAACGAGACCCAUAUUUCUAGUUGCUAGAAUGAUUUCUCGAAAUUAUUAAGGAAACUAGUUAGACUGCCGCUGUAAAGCGGAGGAAGGAAUGGGCUACGGCAGGUCAGUAUGCCCUAAAUCCUCAGGGCCACACGCGAGAUGCAAUAGCAUGGACAAUGGGUUCUGACCUCGAAAGAGGUAAGAAAUCCUUAAACCAUGCUUCAGUUGGAAUUGAGGGCUGCAACCCGUCCUCAUGAACCUGGAAUCCCUAGUAACCGCGUGUCAUCAUCGCGCGGUGAAUACGUCCCCGCUCCUUGCACACACCGCCCGUCGCUUCAUCC